CUCGGCCAUUGACUAUGCAGGCGCUGGUGGCUCGGGCUCCCGGAUCUCUGUGUCCCACUCCACCAGUUUCCAGGGCAGCUGGGGGUCCGGGGGCCUGACCACGGGGAUGGCUGGGAGUCUGGGGUGGGAUCCAGAGUGAGAAGGAGAUCAUGCAAGAGCUGAAUGACUGCUUGGCCUCCUACCUGGAGAGGGUUAGGAGUCUGGAGCCCGAGAACUGGAGGCUGGAGAGCAAACUCCGGGAACACCUGGAGAAGAAGGGACCCCAGGUCAGAGACUGGGGACAUUACUUCAAGACCAUCGAGGACCUGAGGGGUCAGAUCUUUGCAAAUUCUGUGAACAAUGCCCGCAUCGUUCAGAUUGACAAUGCCCGUCUUGCUGCUGAUGACUUUAGAGUCAAGUAUGAGACAGAGCUGGCCAUGCGCCAGUCUGUGGAGAGAGACAUCCAUGGGCUCCACAAGGUCAUUGAUGACACCAAUGUCACCCAGCUGCAACUGGAGACAGAGAUCGAGGCCCUCAAGAAAGAGCUGCUCUUCAUAAAGAAGAACCAUGAGGAGGAAGUAAAAGGCCUA
Molecule: RNA transcript, 569 nt
Organism: Carlito syrichta (Philippine tarsier)
Lineage: Eukaryota; Metazoa; Chordata; Mammalia; Primates; Tarsiidae
Gene name: keratin, type I cytoskeletal 18 pseudogene
Exons: 1
Source: RefSeq, a predicted model, not a curated record